GUGGAAAUCUAUGUUUUGAAGUCCAUUGUGGUCACUUCUCUAUGACCUAACUUGGUUUCCAUAACAACAUUUUCUCAGGCCACAUCACAAGGUAAUCAGUUUAUCCCUCCUGUCCUAUUAGCACCUUACCGCUGUGUCAGUGGAAUGAAGCCAGUCCGUCAAGCAUGGAAUAAGAAGAUGGCCAAUGAUGAAGUAGAAAAGCCAAGCCUCUGCAGAUAACAAGUCCAUCAGCACCUUGACCAGGCACUGUGCCGAAGCAAAGAUUG
RNAcentral lists this long non-coding RNA (266 nucleotides) under Mus spicilegus (steppe mouse). RNAcentral describes it as "lncRNA (ENSMSIG00000002710.1)". Lineage: Eukaryota; Metazoa; Chordata; Mammalia; Rodentia; Muridae. The record is from RNAcentral.